Molecule: ribosomal RNA, 334 nt
Filed under: uncultured bacterium
Lineage: Bacteria
Description: bacterial SSU rRNA
Rfam family: Bacterial small subunit ribosomal RNA
Source: RNAcentral
AUUGAACGCUGGCGGCGUGCCUAACACAUGCAAGUCGAACGAACGAGAUUACGACUGCGACUUCGGUCAAAGAAAUUUUCAAGUUAGUGGCGCACGGGUGAGUAACACGUGGGUAAUCUGCCCAACAGCUCGGGAUAACCAUUGGAAACGAUGGCUAAUACCGGAUACGAACUAGUUUUAUCGUUAGUUGAAAGGAGGCCUCUGCUUGCAAGCUUUCACUGUUGGAUGAGCCCGCGGCUCAUUAGGUAGUUGGUGGGGUAACAGCCUACCAAGCCUGUGAUGAGUAACCGGCCUGAGAGGGUGAACGGUCACACUGGGACUGGACACGGCCCAG